UACCAGCACCCCGAGUGGUCGGGACGUUUAUUGGGCCUAAAGCAUCCGUAGCCGGUUCUACAAGUCUUCCGUUAAAUCCACCUGCUUAACAGAUGGGCUGCGGAAGAUACUAUAGAGCUAGGAGGCGGGAGAGGCAAGCGGUACUCGAUGGGUAGGGGUAAAAUCCUGUAAUCCUGCGGGGAGGACCAGUGGCGAAGGCGCUACACUAGAACGGCUCUGACAGUGAGGGACGAAGCCCUGGGGCGCAAACCGG
RNAcentral lists this ribosomal RNA (253 nucleotides) under uncultured bacterium. RNAcentral's name for it is "partial 16S ribosomal RNA". It matches the Rfam family "Archaeal small subunit ribosomal RNA", at positions 474 to 727 of the family's 1478-position model. The record is from RNAcentral.